Molecule: transfer RNA, 89 nt
Filed under: Pseudomonadota bacterium
Lineage: Bacteria; Pseudomonadati; Pseudomonadota
Also listed under: 1 other name
Description: tRNA-Leu
Rfam family: tRNA
About the family: Transfer RNA (tRNA) molecules are approximately 80 nucleotides in length. Their secondary structure includes four short double-helical elements and three loops (D, anti-codon, and T loops). Further hydrogen bonds mediate the characteristic L-shaped molecular structure. tRNAs have two regions of fundamental functional importance: the anti-codon, which is responsible for specific mRNA codon recognition, and the 3' end, to which the tRNAs corresponding amino acid is attached (by aminoacyl-tRNA synthetases). tRNAs cope with the degeneracy of the genetic code in two manners: having more than one tRNA (with a specific anti-codon) for a particular amino acid; and 'wobble' base-pairing, i.e. permitting non-standard base-pairing at the 3rd anti-codon position.
Source: RNAcentral
GCCGAGGUGGCGGAAUAAGGUAGACGCGUCGGACUUAGGAUCCGAUGGGUUUCAAGCCCGUGCGGGUUCAAGUCCCGCCCUCGGCACCA